AUGAUUAGGAAGAGUAAGUGCCCUGCUUAGUACAAAAGGAACCACAGAUUCAGACAUUUGGUGUAUGUGCUUGGCUGAGGAGCGAAUGGGGCUAAAAUACCAUCUGUGGGAUUAUGACUGAAUGCCUCUAAAUCAGAAUCCCUCACCUAGAAGCCUUGGUUGGCCUCGGAUAGCUGGUACCAUGCCAUCCCUGCUGGUGAGCCACUGCGUCACACCCCGCGUCUGGACUGGGCUCCAGUGCAGAGAGCCCCUCAUUUUGGGAAACAGGGUAUGACCAGAAAGGGGGCCACCCCCUGCUCUUCACGCAGUGCAUAUUCCUGGUGAACCUGGUGCUAAAACCAUUUGUUGAUGACCUGCUCAUUGGUCGGGGUUUCGAACAGAGAAGAGCAGCUCCCUUGCUGCGAUCUAUUGAAAAUCAGCUUUCCACACAAGGGUUG
RNAcentral lists this non-coding RNA (437 nucleotides) under Myotis brandtii (Brandt's bat). Its description in RNAcentral is "Eukaryotic large subunit ribosomal RNA". It matches the Rfam family "Eukaryotic large subunit ribosomal RNA", at positions 3000 to 3399 of the family's 3401-position model. Lineage: Eukaryota; Metazoa; Chordata; Mammalia; Chiroptera; Vespertilionidae. The record is from Rfam by way of RNAcentral.